GACGAACGCUGGCGGCGUGCCUAAUACAUGCAAGUAGGACGCUGAAGGAGGAGCUUGCUUCUCUGGAUGAGUUGCGAACGGGUGAGUAACGCGUAGGUAACCUGCCUGGUAGCGGGGGAUAACUAUUGGAAACGAUAGCUAAUACCGCAUAAUAGUAGAUGUUGCAUGACAUUUGCUUAAAAGGUGCAAUUGCAUCACUACCAGAUGGACCUGCGUUGUAUUAGCUAGUUGGUGGGGUAACGGCUCACCAAGGCGACGAUACAUAGCCGACCUGAGAGGGGGGUCGGCCACACUGGGACUGAGACACGGCCCAGACUCCUACGGGAGGCAGCAGUAGGGAAUCUUCGGCAAUGGACGGAAGUCUGACCGAGCAACGCCGCGUGAGUGAAGAAGGUUUUCGGAUCGUAAAGCUCUGUUGUAAGAGAAGAACGAGUGUGAGAGUGGAAAGUUCACACUGUGACGGUAUCUUACCAGAAAGGGACGGCUAACUACGUG
Molecule: ribosomal RNA, 495 nt
Filed under: uncultured bacterium
Lineage: Bacteria
Description: partial 16S ribosomal RNA
Rfam family: Bacterial small subunit ribosomal RNA
Source: RNAcentral